GACGAACGCUGGCGGCGUGCUUAACACAUGCAAGUCUACGAGAAAAAGGUAGCAAUAUCUUGAUUAAAGUGGCGCACGGGUGAGUAACACGUGAGCAAUCUACCCUUGGAUUUGGAAUAACCCGUCGAAAGACGUGCUAAUACCGAACGACACGCGGGAAUCGCAUGGUUCCUUCGUUAAAGUUGCAGCAAUGUAACGUCCAGGGAUGAGCUUGCGUCUGAUUAGCUAGUUGGUAGGGUAAUGGCCUACCAAGGCGACGAUCAGUAGCUGGUCUGAGAGGAUGAUCAGCCAUACUGGAACUGAGACACGGUCCAGACUCCUACGGGAGGCAGCAGUGAGGAAUAUUGGGCAAUGGGGGAAACCCUGACCCAGCGACGCCGCGUGAGGGAAGAAGGUUUUCGGAUUGUAAACCUCUGUUCUUGGUGAAGAGGGGAAGACGGUAGCCAAGGAGGAAGCCCCGGCUAACUACGUG
Molecule: ribosomal RNA, 472 nt
Filed under: uncultured bacterium
Lineage: Bacteria
Description: bacterial SSU rRNA
Rfam family: Bacterial small subunit ribosomal RNA
Source: RNAcentral